Molecule: ribosomal RNA, 253 nt
Filed under: uncultured bacterium
Lineage: Bacteria
Description: partial 16S ribosomal RNA
Rfam family: Bacterial small subunit ribosomal RNA
Source: RNAcentral
GACGUAGGGUGCGAGCGUUGUCCGGAUUUAUUGGGCGUAAAGAGCUCGUAGGCGGCUCGUCGCGUCGGCUGUGAAAACCCGUGGCUUAACUGCGGGCUUGCAGCUGAUACGGGCGGGCUAGAGUUCGGUAGGGGAGACUGGAAUUCCUGGUGUAGCGGUGAAAUGCGCAGAUAUCAGGAGGAACACCGGUGGCGAAGGCGGCUCUCUGGGACGGUACUGACGCUGAGACGCGAAAGCGUGGGGAGCGAACAGG